UGAAAUGAUCGUAUAUGAUAAUCCCCAAAUAAAUACUUCCAAACCAUAGAGAAAUAACCACUGUAUUUUUAAAAAUCUUAUUCCUACCCUUCUUUGCAUGUUACUGAUUUUUUUAAUAAGUUAUAAAUAUAUGUUGUGAUGUAUUAAAAAUCUACAGGAAAAACUGCUUAAAAUGUUUUAGGGCAAUAAGAAUUUUUAUUACUGUUUCCUGAAGAAUUAGUUGUUUGUUUGGUUGUUUUUAACUAAUUUCUUUAUCUUAUCAGAAAGAACUUUUAACGGUUCAGCAAAAUAUUUUAGGGCUUUGUGUUCAUGGCUUUUUAUAGUUAUCUGGGUACAUUCCUUUUGCCACAUAGACCAUAUGGCUAGUUCUCCAACCGUUUUUUGUUUUUAAUAAACCUUGCUGUUCAACAAUCAGAGUCUUCUAUUUUGGAGGCUUCUCCCAGUUGAGGUAGAAAGGUCUUAGAUAAUAGGAAAGGCAGAUACAACGUCCUAACAUUUUCAUAGUAGAGUUUACAAGUAGAUAAAUAGGUUAUCUUCAUUGUGUAGCACCAGUACAAAUAGUAAUUUCAUUAAUCAUGGAAUCAGAUAAAGCAGUUAUAAAUAAUUUUAUACUUUGCUCUAAAGAUUAUUGUUAUUUCAGGCCACGUUAUUAUUUUCUCUCAGCAAUUUCCACUGUAAGGUUGAAUAUCCUUUUUCUUUAUUCACAUCAUCACUAAAGGUUAAGAUAAUCAAAUAAGAGUUAAAAUAAGUUAUGUUUGAUCUUUUUCCCUGAAAAUAAUGGUGAACCUAUUGUCUAUAUUAUGGAUAUUAGGCAGAAAUGCACUUGUUUCAAUCAUAGCAGAAAUUACAUUUGCAGAAUAUAAUUACUUGAUUUUCUAGUGGUGUGAAAUACUUAAAAAAUUGUGCUCGUCUGUAACUGAAAUGUUAUAGAAUUGUAACACUAUAGGGAUUAUAGAGUUAUAUUUAUUAGCUCUCCUCAAGAGAUUGAAGCACAAUAAUUUUCAUGUAACAGUUCUUAUCCAAGUGCUGCUAAUCUGUCGUGCAAAUAUGAAGCUAAUUGGUUGCCUAUCUAGCUAUUCACAAAUCACUGUAAUCCUUGAGACAUAGUCUUGUUGCUCAUUUGUAUUAAAUUUUGGGUGUUGUGGGUUAAUACUUUAGAACAAAAUCCAUCAACUCAGCUCUGUGAGACAGCAAAACAUUUGGAUUCAUUAGUUUUAUAUGUGUUAUCAGUAGAAUAAAUUUUGAAGGGGCUAUUUACUACCAGUGACUAAGGGGGAAACUUAUAUUGUCAACAUCAUUUGACUUGAACUUUUGUGGUAUUGUAAAAGUCUUGUCUGUUGUGUUUCUAAAUUGCUUAAGCCAUACAUACUUUUAAGGGUGUUUUCCCGUUUUCUUCCUUUUCAGCAGCCUUUUACUGCUUUGUCUGUUAUGGUUAAUAUUUCAUAGAUUUUAGAAAUUGAGAAGUUAUUGAAACAUUUUAUUUUCUUGAGUUCAUCACUUUUGACUCUUGUAUGAUAUGUGAUUUGUCAUAAAGGAUAGCAAGCCUUUUCACUAACUAUUUCACUAAAAAUUUCAGAGUAAACACUGUGAUUCUGCAGAGAGACUCAGUAGGCCCUUGUCUUUCCAAUGUUUUCUUCUGUUAUAUGGUGCCUGCCACCUUGAGGGCACUUAGAUACUAGAGGCUGGAAAGUUAAAUGUUGUUUUGAUGUUUAUUGAAUAACAAGAUUACAGAAUAUAUGAUUUUUGUUGUCAAUGUAUGGAAGACAUUUUUGCAUUGAUAAAUGUUCUCUAGGAAUGUGACUACAUUCAUCAGGUGUGAACUCUUGUAAAUGAAUUUUGUAUCUUGAAUCUACGUAUAUAUUAAGUGUAUCAUCAAUAUAAAAAUAAACAUUAUUUGCUUAAAGUUUUUGG
RNAcentral lists this long non-coding RNA (1911 nucleotides) under Equus asinus (donkey). Its description in RNAcentral is "lncRNA (ENSEASG00005037221.1)". Lineage: Eukaryota; Metazoa; Chordata; Mammalia; Perissodactyla; Equidae. The record is from RNAcentral.